GACGAAACGCUGGCGGUAUGCCUAACACAUGCAAGUCGAACGAGAUCCCUUUUUCUCUCUCUCGGGAGAAAAAGAGAAGAUUGCAGUGGCGGACGGGUGAGGAACGCGUAAGAACUUACCUUUUGGUGGGGGAUAACAGUGGGAAACUGCUGCUAAUACCCCAUAAUGCUGAGGAGCUAAAAAGUGAAAACUGCCAAAAAGAGAGGCUUGCGUCUGAUUAGCUAGUUGGAGAGGGUAAUGGCCUCCCAAGGCGACGAUCAGUAGCUGGUCUGAGAGGAUGAUCAGCCACACUGGGGACUGAGACACGGCCCAGACUCCUACGGGAGGCAGCAGUGGGGAAUUUUCCACAAUGGGCGAAAGCCUGAUGGAGCAAUACCGCGUGGAGGAAGAAGGAUCGUGGUCCGUAAACUCCUUUUUCUUAAAGGGUAAGAAACAAUGACGGUACUUAAGGAAUAAGCACCGGCUAACUACUGUAGCCAGCAGCCGCGGUAA
RNAcentral lists this ribosomal RNA (492 nucleotides) under uncultured bacterium. RNAcentral's name for it is "bacterial SSU rRNA". It matches the Rfam family "Bacterial small subunit ribosomal RNA", at positions 32 to 523 of the family's 1533-position model. The record is from RNAcentral.